This 104-nucleotide transfer RNA is filed under the name Marasmius sp. AFHP31. Its description in RNAcentral is "tRNA-Met". It matches the Rfam family "tRNA". From Rfam's summary of the family: Transfer RNA (tRNA) molecules are approximately 80 nucleotides in length. Lineage: Eukaryota; Fungi; Basidiomycota; Agaricomycetes; Agaricales; Marasmiaceae. The record is from RNAcentral.
GCUUCCUUGGCUCAGUUGGCUAGAGCGCAGGUCUCAUACCGAACGGUGUGAUCUUCUUUAGAAGAGUAAUCCUGAGGUCGCAAGUUCGAGCCUUGCAGGGAGCA